RNAcentral lists this unclassified non-coding RNA (200 nucleotides) under uncultured Sebacina. RNAcentral describes it as "sequence contains ITS2". Lineage: Eukaryota; Fungi; Basidiomycota; Agaricomycetes; Sebacinales; Sebacinaceae. The record is from RNAcentral.
UACUUCUCACACUUCUGAUCUUUUGGGUCGGGAGCGGUGGACUUGGGUGUUGCUGCUUUACUGUGGCUCACCUCAAAUGCAUUAGUGCAACUCUUGGUUGGACAUAGUACGGCGUGAUAAGUAUCUUCGCCGGCACCUCGCAAGAGGGUGGCUGAUCAGGAGCUCUGUGCUUUCCAACUGUCUUCAGACAACAACUGACA